UAGACAGAUUAUUGCAUUCGACUGUAUUUACGGCGUGAAAUAGGGGAUUACACUGUUUUUAAACGGAAAGUGAAUCAAUUAACAUAAUAGACUCCU
This is a microRNA precursor of Nicotiana attenuata, 96 nucleotides long. It matches the Rfam family "MIR6152 microRNA precursor family". The record is from Rfam. Lineage: Eukaryota; Viridiplantae; Streptophyta; Magnoliopsida; Solanales; Solanaceae.